CGAUUUUUCCGGUCGUUUCUGAGCCUGACCAUUCCACGUGGAGCAGCUGGUGCUCCCUGGAGCAUCAGGACGUGCUCUCUGUUCCAGAUGCAGAUGAAAAGGAAAAUGACAAUGAUGACGUGGAAGUGGAAACACAAGCCCUGUCACACUCCAGUCUCAUCAGGGAGAUUCCAGAGAUUGAAGAUCAAGAUGUCUCACAAGACUCUCACGAAAAUCAAUAUAAUGAAGUGAAGAUGCAAGAGCAAGAUGGCACAAACACUUCCAG
This is a long non-coding RNA of Lepus europaeus (European hare), 265 nucleotides long. RefSeq lists it as uncharacterized. NCBI's taxonomy places the organism in Eukaryota, Metazoa, Chordata, Mammalia, Lagomorpha, Leporidae. The transcript has 4 exons. The record is from RefSeq and is a predicted model, not a curated record.